Rhizophagus clarus is the source of this 71-nucleotide non-coding RNA. NCBI's taxonomy places the organism in Eukaryota, Fungi, Glomeromycota, Glomeromycetes, Glomerales, Glomeraceae. The record is from the annotation of a GenBank genome assembly.
GCGGAAAUAGCUUAAUGGUAGAGCAUAGCCUUGCCAAGGCUGAGGUUGAGGGUUCAAGUCCCUUCUUCCGC